UGGGGAAUAUUGCACAAUGGGCGCAAGCCUGAUGCAGCCAUGCCGCGUGUGUGAAGAAGGCCUUCGGGUUGUAAAGCACUUUCAGCGGGGAGGAAGGCGUUAAGGUUAAUAACCUUGGCGAUUGACGUUACCCGCAGAAGAAGCACCGGCUAACUCCGUGCCAGCAGCCGCGGUAAUACGGAGGGUGCAAGCGUUAAUCGGAAUUACUGGGCGUAAAGCGCACGCAGGCGGUCUGUCAAGUCGGAUGUGAAAUCCCCGGGCUCAACCUGGGAACUGCAUUCGAAACUGGCAGGCUAGAGUCUUGUAGAGGGGGGUAGAAUUCCAGGUGUAGCGGUGAAAUGCGCAGAGAUCUGGAGGAAUACCGGUGGCGAAGGCGGCCCCCUGGACGAAGACUGACGCUCAGGUGCGAAAGCGUGGGGAGCAAACAGG
Molecule: ribosomal RNA, 429 nt
Filed under: Chloroflexota bacterium
Lineage: Bacteria; Bacillati; Chloroflexota
Description: Chloroflexi bacterium partial 16S ribosomal RNA
Rfam family: Bacterial small subunit ribosomal RNA
Source: RNAcentral